UGAGGAAUAUUGGUCAAUGGGCGGAAGCCUGAACCAGCCAAGUAGCGUGAAGGAUGACUGCCCUAUGGGUUGUAAACUUCUUUUACAAGGGAAUAAUUGUGGGUACGCGUACCCAUUUGCAUGUACCUUAUGAAUAAGGAUCGGCUAACUCCGUGCCAGCAGCCGCGGUAAUACGGAGGAUCCGAGCGUUAUCCGGAUUUAUUGGGUUUAAAGGGAGCGUAGGCGGGCGCUUAAGUCAGCGGUGAAACCUGAGCGCUCAACGUUCAGCCUGCCGUUGAAACUGCCGGGCUUGAGUUCAGUGGCGGCAGGCGGAAUUCGUGGUGUAGCGGUGAAAUGCAUAGAUAUCACGAGGAACUCCGAUUGCGAAGGCAGCUUGCCAUACUGCGACUGACACUGAAGCACGAAGGCGUGGGUAUCAAACAGGAUUAGAUACCCUGGUAGUCCACGCAGUAAACGAUGAUUACUAGGAGUUUGCGAUAUACCGUCAAGCUUCCACAGCGAAAGCGUUAAGUAAUCCACCUGGGGAGUACGCCGGCAACGGUG
RNAcentral lists this ribosomal RNA (543 nucleotides) under uncultured bacterium. RNAcentral's name for it is "bacterial SSU rRNA". It matches the Rfam family "Bacterial small subunit ribosomal RNA", at positions 355 to 896 of the family's 1533-position model. The record is from RNAcentral.